Molecule: long non-coding RNA, 466 nt
Organism: Phyllostomus discolor (pale spear-nosed bat)
Lineage: Eukaryota; Metazoa; Chordata; Mammalia; Chiroptera; Phyllostomidae
Exons: 2
Source: RefSeq, a predicted model, not a curated record
UGGGCCCUGAGACCCUCCCUCAGAGCUGCAGCGCCCGCCGCUGACCCCAGAGCUUACCUGUGCACCCGUGGCUAUGGCCUUCGAGGACGUGGCCACGUACUUGACCCCUGCGAGUGGGGCGGCUGGGCCGGGAGAACUGCAGGAACGUGACCUGUCCCGAUGCCAUCGGUCUCGGACCCGAGAGUCAUUCCUUUGAAGUGCAUUCACCAGGAAUGACAGGUCUUCUGUCUUCCUGCUCCGUGGGAUAGACUACUGACUUCUGUAUCUCAUAGCUAGCAGACAGACACACCAGGCCUAAUCACAUCUACACUGACUGGCUUUUUGUGAUUUUUCACUUCUCUGAUUCUACUGAACCCGGUUCUCUCAUUCCCUCAUUCUCCCUUUUCCCAAACGCCCAAAUUGGAUGGCGCUCAGCUCUUCCCCCUGCUAUCAGUAGUUAUCGAGUAAAAUCUUUCCGUCGCUUUAA